UACGUAGGGCGCGAGCGUUGUCCGGAAUUAUUGGGCGUAAAGAGCUCGUAGGUGGCUUGUCACGUCGGUUGUGAAAGCCCGGGGCUUAACCCCGGGUCUGCAGUCGAUACGGGCAGGCUAGAGUUCGGUAGGGGAGAUCGGAAUUCCUGGUGUAGCGGUGAAAUGCGCAGAUAUCAGGAGGAACACCGGUGGCGAAGGCGGAUCUCUGGGCCGAUACUGACGCUGAGGAGCGAAAGCGUAGGGAGCGAAC
RNAcentral lists this ribosomal RNA (250 nucleotides) under uncultured prokaryote. RNAcentral's name for it is "partial 16S ribosomal RNA". It matches the Rfam family "Bacterial small subunit ribosomal RNA", at positions 524 to 773 of the family's 1533-position model. The record is from RNAcentral.